This 253-nucleotide ribosomal RNA is filed under the name uncultured bacterium. RNAcentral's name for it is "partial 16S ribosomal RNA". It matches the Rfam family "Bacterial small subunit ribosomal RNA", at positions 524 to 776 of the family's 1533-position model. The record is from RNAcentral.
UACGUAGGGAGCUAGCGUUGUCCGGAAUCAUUGGGCGUAAAGCGCACGUAGGCGGCUUUUUAAGUCAGGGGUGAAAUCCUGGAGCUCAACUCCAGAACUGCCUUUGAUACUGAGAAGCUUGAGUCCGGGAGAGGUGAGUGGAACUGCGAGUGUAGAGGUGAAAUUCGUAGAUAUUCGCAAGAACACCAGUGGCGAAGGCGGCUCACUGGCCCGGUACUGACGCUGAGGUGCGAAAGCGUGGGGAGCAAACAGG